AACGAACGCUGGCGGCAGGCUUAACACAUGCAAGUCGAACGCUCGUAGCAAUACGGGAGUGGCGGACGGGUGAGUAACGCGUGGGAACGUGUCCUGAGGUACGGAAUAACUGCGGGAAACUGCAGCUAAUACCGUAUGAGCCCCGCAAGGGGGAAAGAUUUAUCGCCUUGGGAGCGGCCCGCGUCGGAUUAGCUAGUUGGUGGGGUAACGGCCUACCAAGGCUUCGAUCCGUAGCUGGUCUGAGAGGACGAUCAGCCACACUGGGACUGAGACACGGCCCAGACUCCUACGGGAGGCAGCAGUGGGGAAUCUUGCGCAAUGGGGGCAACCCUGACGCAGCCAUGCCGCGUGAAUGAUGAAGGCCUUAGGGUUGUAAAGUUCUUUGCCCGUGACGAUGAUGACGGUAACGGGAGAAUAAGCUCCGGCUAACUUCGUGCCAGCAGCCGCGG
RNAcentral lists this ribosomal RNA (449 nucleotides) under uncultured bacterium. RNAcentral's name for it is "bacterial SSU rRNA". It matches the Rfam family "Bacterial small subunit ribosomal RNA", at positions 29 to 520 of the family's 1533-position model. The record is from RNAcentral.